GACAGAAAGGGCAAGCGUUAUUCGGAUUGAUUGGGUGUAAAGGGUAUGUAGGUGGCUUUCAGAACUAUUUGUGAAAAACUUGAUAUCAAAUGAAGGAAAACAAUUGCCGAUUUUUAAGCUUGAGUUGUGUAGGGGUUGGGAGAAUUUUAUAAUAAGGGAUAGAAAUCCACAGAAAUAUAAAGGAAAACCAAAGGCGGAAGCACCUUUCUAGAUAACAACUGACACUGAGGUACGAAAGUA
RNAcentral lists this ribosomal RNA (240 nucleotides) under uncultured bacterium. RNAcentral's name for it is "partial 16S ribosomal RNA". It matches the Rfam family "Bacterial small subunit ribosomal RNA", at positions 524 to 761 of the family's 1533-position model. The record is from RNAcentral.